Pseudonaja textilis is the source of this 146-nucleotide non-coding RNA. The record is from RefSeq and is a predicted model, not a curated record. NCBI's taxonomy places the organism in Eukaryota, Metazoa, Chordata, Lepidosauria, Squamata, Elapidae.
GGUCUGAUUGGUGUUCCUGGUACUUCUGGUGAAAAGGGUGAGCCUGGCUUGAAAGGGAACAAAGGUGAAGUAGGAGAAAAGGGUGAAAAAGGAGAAAAAGGAAUAGAAGGCAUACCUGGAAGGGAUGGCUUAAAAGGUGAUGUUGG